This 506-nucleotide ribosomal RNA is filed under the name uncultured Lachnospiraceae bacterium. RNAcentral's name for it is "bacterial SSU rRNA". It matches the Rfam family "Bacterial small subunit ribosomal RNA", at positions 87 to 606 of the family's 1533-position model. The record is from RNAcentral. Lineage: Bacteria; Bacillati; Bacillota; Clostridia; Lachnospirales; Lachnospiraceae.
GUGACUGAGCGGCGGACGGGUGAGUAACGCGUAGGGCAACCUGCCUCAUACAGGGGGAUAACAGUUAGAAAUGACUGCUAAUACCGCAUAAAGCGCACAUGACCGCAUGGUGUAAGUGUAGAAAAACUCCGGUGGUAUGAGAUGGACCCGCGUCUGAUUAUGUAGUUGGUGGGGUAAAAGGCCUACCAAGCCGACGAUCAGUAGCCGACCUGAGAGGGUGACCGGCCACAUUGGGACUGAGACACGGCCCAAACUCCUACGGGAGGCAGCAGUGGGGAAUAUUGCACAAUGGGGGAAACCCUGAUGCAGCGACGCCGCGUGAAGGAAGAAGUAUUUCGGUAUGUAAACUUCUAUCAGCAGGGAAGAAGAUGACGGUACCUGAGUAAGAAGCACCGGCUAAAUACGUGCCAGCAGCCGCGGUAAUACGUAUGGUGCAAGCGUUAUCCGGAUUUACUGGGUGUAAAGGGAGCGUAGACGGAUAGGCAAGUCUGGAGUGAAACCCAGGG